AUGAACAGAGGAGGACAGAACAAAAAUACAGGGUUGACAGACAAAAAGAAAUUUGAAAAUGGAGGGAAGGUUGACCGAGGUAAGGGCCUUGCCGUUUUCACUCUCGCUAUCGUCGCUUUCUUCAUUCUGCUCACGUUGUCGUUGAGUCUGUAUCUUCCAUCGCCACUUCAAUAUAGGGUUUUGAUAUCCGAAACCCUCGAAACACCAUCCAUCAUGCCAUCGCAUCUCCAUCAUCACCACUACUGUUGUUGA
This is a non-coding RNA of Vicia faba (fava bean), 252 nucleotides long. NCBI's taxonomy places the organism in Eukaryota, Viridiplantae, Streptophyta, Magnoliopsida, Fabales, Fabaceae. The record is from the annotation of a GenBank genome assembly.